Molecule: long non-coding RNA, 2709 nt
Filed under: Marmota monax (woodchuck)
Lineage: Eukaryota; Metazoa; Chordata; Mammalia; Rodentia; Sciuridae
Source: RNAcentral
CAUAGCUGAGGAACCUUGGGGGUUGUAGUGAGGGGGGUAGCCUGCGCCAAGGGACGGUGGUGGUUCCAAUGAGUGGGUGACUUCUGAGUAAGAAUGAGUGUCAGAGGUGACAUCCCACUAGUGUGGAUGAACUAGGGAUUUUCAUCUAACUUUGGGUUGCAGCCGAGUGGGUGUGGCUAACAUCUGGUUCAAUGUGGGUCCUUCCUUCUUUCAUUCGCUCUGCAGAUAUUUAUGGACCUGCCGUGCCCUAGCUUUGUCCUAAGAGCUGGGGAUACAGAAGAGCAUUAAAAAAUAAUAAUAAUCCCUGCCUUCAGGACACUCACUCGUCAGUGGGUAAAGACCAUAAUGAUCGUGUUACUUGGACACAUGGAGGGAGGGAGGUGGUCUGAGUAGCUGUAGGUGGGCUCCGUGCUCACGUCUGGUUGAGUCUGGAUACUUCACUCAUCGGCCCAUUCAUUCAUUAUUUCCUCUAACCAGCGAAUAUUUCCUGAGCAUCUGCCGUGUGCUAGGCACUGGGGAAAUGGCGGGAAACAAUUCAGACCUAAACCUUGCCCUCGUGGCUGUCAUACCCAAUGUGAGUCGAUGCGGAUGACAUCUGAGUCACCUGAAUACACGGAUUGAGCAGGGCGCUCAGCUUAUGGGCGGCAUCUGCGCAUGAUUGUGCUGAGUUCCGGUGGGUAGUCAUUUGAAAACCUAUGGGUGGCAUUUGAGAGUAGGCACCUGAGUGUGUGCGUGGGUUUGAGUGAGUGAGGGUAACUUCUGAGUGAGGAGGGGUCACAAAGACCCGCUUCUCACUACGCGGGGACAGCGCGGGGACCAGCCGCGCAGUCGCAGUCGGAGCCAGAGAGAAGCCCUGCGUCCCGACAGUUGCCGUGGAGACCGUAGCUGCCCCCAGGCGCCUGCUGGGGUUUGCAGGAAACGGAGGGGACACACAGUGUUCUGGAUUUCAGGGUUUGCAGAAGGUCUUUUGCCAGAGUUGAGAACAACCCACGCACAGCCUGGAAGACUGUCAAGGUGACCCCUGCUCCACCAUCAUCAGGGGCCAGGUGUUGCGCAUGGCCCCGCUGGUGAGGGACAAGGGACCUAGACUCCCUAUCUUUACAUUCUUCUGGAAAUCCCGCCAUUGCAAAGUCUUGAGCGGUUUUCCGUCUUUCGAAGGGAUGUCCCUUGAAUGUACCUCUGGCUCGAAUUUGUCCCGAGGGUGCCACCUUGGUGAGCGGGCUCCCUGCUCACCACCACUGAGGAACUGUGCAUGACUCUCAAAAACUGUCGCUGUUCUCCACACGUUGUCUCUCUUGCAGAAGUGGUGAGACUGGGCGCUUCUGCCCUCAUUGGCCCUGGGGUGAAGAGUGGGUCUCCCCACAUUAAGUCCCAGAAGUCCUCCCGGGCGGGGGCGGGGCGGUCACUCCACUCUCUAAAGAAGGAAAGGCAAGGCUUCCCGUAAAAGAGAAGAAAAACUAAGUAAGAGUCCACUUUGAAGAGUCAUUAAGAAACACCGAGUCCCCAAUCCCGUGAGCUGAGUACCCUGGAUGGUGAUGAAGGAGAAAAGGAAUUAGAUAAAAUGCAAUUGUGAGUGUCCAGUCCUCUCUCCUUCAGGGACACCAGACUGAAUUUGCAAACCUCCAUCGGUUCAGGGAUCUGCAAAGGUUUGAAUGACUUUAUUUUCAAAAGUGUAAUUUACACACACACACACACACACACACAUGCUUAGAUUCUUAUCCACUGGAGCCCCCACAGUGUCUUAGGGGGGUGGGCAUCAGUCCUGUGUAGAACCUCCAGCACCCAUUCCCCUUUCUCAUUUUUUGGAAAGCUGUCCCCAACAACCCCUGACCAGAGCCAACCCCUCACCCUAACAGCCAGACCCCUCAGGUCCUGUUAGGUCCCCCUGGUCCAGCAAGCUUCAAGAAACCUAAGGAAUUUUUAGGAUUCACUUGGUUGAUGUAACCAAACCCCAACCUUGAAGACUCUGAUUGCUGCCCAUUUCCCAAGCGUUGACCUCAGCGUCUUUAUGUGUGUGUGUGUAUGUGUGUGUGUGUGUGUGUUCGCGCACAACAGUGGGAUGAAGCUUUUCCUGCCAUCCUCACAUAUAUAUUUGAACUUCUGCCCAUCCAUGGUCAAGAAGUCUGUAGCUCCAUACCGAUCUUUUCAUCUCCUAUAAAUCCCCGCCCAGGGCACAUCCACUUGCAGAACGUUCUACCACUCUGCUUCUUGUUCCCUCACAGUCUGAACUUGGAUAAAGGCCACACAGGUCCCAGCAUGUUUGUUGCAUGCAGACCGUGCUCCCUUCAGGGCACAACUGUUGUAUAGGACAAUGUGACAUUUCUUAUCAUCAUUUUGCCGUCCUGAGACAGUGUUUGUGCUUCUCAUGGGUUUGGGUGUCUCCCAUCUAGCUUUUGUAUUUGUGAUACACAACCUGAGUGUGUGUUGGUUUUGAUGCAUCAAAAUCACUUCCUUUCCGAGACUUUUUGGGACCCAUUGGAGAGUCUGACGGGGUUGCAAUGCACACCAUUAGAUUAAAAACCAUCAACCACCUUGAGUCAAGGCCUCACUAGCACAGCAGAUUCCAAGCAGGAAUUCCCAAGUAGAUUGGACAGGCCGCAGCUGCCUUUGUAAAGCCCCGAUUUCAAAGGUGGGUUUAGCUGAAACCCUUCAUUGCUUUUUGUGGUUGAUGUUCUAUUGUACAAAUAAGAAUUGGCAAAAUAAAUGUAU